This is a non-coding RNA of Aedes aegypti (yellow fever mosquito), 75 nucleotides long. NCBI's taxonomy places the organism in Eukaryota, Metazoa, Arthropoda, Insecta, Diptera, Culicidae. The record is from Rfam.
CGUUCUGUGGCGUAGCUGGUUAACGCGCAAAGUCUAGCGUAUUGGAAGUCGUGGGAUCGAAGCCUACCAGAACAA